Molecule: ribosomal RNA, 253 nt
Filed under: uncultured bacterium
Lineage: Bacteria
Description: partial 16S ribosomal RNA
Rfam family: Bacterial small subunit ribosomal RNA
Source: RNAcentral
UACGUAGGGGGCUAGCGUUGUCCGGAAUCAUUGGGCGUAAAGAGCGUGUAGGCGGCCCGGUAAGUCCGCUGUAAAAGUCAAAGGCUCAACCUUUGAAUGUCAGUGGAUACUGCCGGGCUAGAGUCCGGAAGAGGCGAGUGGAACUCCUGGUGUAGCGGUGGAAUGCGCAGAUAUCAGGAGGAACACCGGUGGCGAAGGCGGUUCUCUGGGCAUUACCUGACGCUGAGGAGCGAAAGUGUGGGGAGCGAACAGG